This is a non-coding RNA of Phalacrocorax carbo (great cormorant), 911 nucleotides long. The record is from RefSeq and is a predicted model, not a curated record. NCBI's taxonomy places the organism in Eukaryota, Metazoa, Chordata, Aves, Suliformes, Phalacrocoracidae.
ACAUUCCACAAGUGCAAUACCUGGGUUGUUCAUUACCACAAAACGAUCUCCUGUACAGUUAACAGAUAUUCAUGUGAGAGCUUGCACAGAGGUGAGGCUGUAUGACAGGUUAGUAAAGCAGAAUACCUAGAUACUUUUACACCACCCAGAAAAGCUUUGGAGACCUAGGCUUUAAAUUCUUAGUGGGAAUUUUUCCCCGUCUGGAUUUGUUUUGCCAGAUUUUUCUCGUUGCCUGCAUUCUCUCAGCUACUUCUGAUGAAGUUUAUGGAGGGAAAAAAAAAUUAAGAUCACUGCUCUUCAAGGAAAAGGCAAAUCCACACCUUCAGGACUCAGACCACAUAACGUGGAAUAUAUCACAGACAGUCCCUAUCAUUUUUUUAUUAUAAAGACAAUAUACUGAAAACUAUGACAGCUGUAGAGCAGAUGUACUAAUGUGACUUUUGCAACACAUCAUUUGUCAAAUACAGCUACCUCCGUGCCCACAUGAUGAGUUACCACCUCCCUUUCACAUAUGUUUGCACUACCUUAUUCAUUCACUUCAGGCCCUACGAUCAGAGACUCAAAAUGGUGCCUCAAAAAUAUGACUAGGCAAACUUAUUGUUUGAGGAAUCUACAUAUCAGAUUAUCACAUCAGUUCCAACCCUCAUGGACAGCUGUAUUACAGAUUAAACUAAGAAAGAAAACCUCAAGCAUUGGAAUCCAAAAUAAUAUUGAGCAUUCACAAGAACAGAAAAUGACUUCUAAAUAGUAUUUAUCUUGUUUUGAAAACUCUACUUGUGACUAAAUCAUAAAGUAUGUAGAAUUAUGGAACUCUAGUGCGGUAAAGUUACAACAGCAUUCAACAGUUUCUUUUUGUUUUUGAGUGUCUCAGUGGAAUCAAAGACAUUAAAAUUGUCAUUUUGUCUACACUA